GUCUCAAACUUCUGGCUUCAAACUAUCUGCCUGCCUCAGCCUCCCAAAGUGCUGGGAUUACAGGCGUGAGCACCGUGCCCUGCCUCUCUUCAAGGACUCUCUUUGCUACAUCGGCAUCACCUGGGAACGUGGUAGGGCUACAGAAUCUUGGGCCCCACCUUGGACCUACCUAAUCGUCAUCUUAUUCAUUGGUGUUCCCUUCGCCAGAGACCAGGUCGAUUGUCUUGGAGAAUGUCCCACAUUCAGCAUUUGUCUGCAUGCUUCCUUAUGGUGCCAUGCUCUUGUCCCUCUAUUCCAAGUGAGUGGAAGUUAGCUGGAGAAGUUUGACUAAAUUCAGGAUCAAGUUUUUGUGACAAGAAUAUUUCCUAGCUGGUGCUAUGUGCAUUUGCAUGGCAUCAGGAGGCAGAUGAUAUCUAGUUGGAAACAAGACUUUGGAUUUUACAAGCUAUGCUUUUGUAAGGAAAGGAACACAUUUAAAGCCUUGAGCGUGUAUUUGCAGAACCACGAGAUAACGGCAAAGAAAGUCCUUGGACACAGGCUCUGUGAGCAUCACAUCUCUCCAACUGGACCCGUGGGCGCUGCAGUGAGCAUAUAUGUCCUAAAGGGAUAUGGCACCAACCUUGUGAAUUGUUUGCUUGUGUUUUUCUAACAUUUCUACUACUUAGUUUCAAUUACAUUUUUCCUAGCAUGGAGUAAUAAAAA
RNAcentral lists this long non-coding RNA (702 nucleotides) under Homo sapiens (human). Its description in RNAcentral is "HSALNT0403846". Lineage: Eukaryota; Metazoa; Chordata; Mammalia; Primates; Hominidae. The record is from RNAcentral.